GUAUUGAUUGGUGCUUGCAUCAUGAUUUACAUUUGAGUGAGUGGCGAACUGGUGAGUAACACGUGGGAAACCUGCCCAGAAGCGGGGGAUAACACCUGGAAACAGAUGCUAAUACCGCAUAACAACUUGGACCGCAUGGUCCGAGCUUGAAAGAUGGCUUCGGCUAUCACUUUUGGAUGGUCCCGCGGCGUAUUAGCUAGAUGGUGGGGUAACGGCUCACCAUGGCAAUGAUACGUAGCCGACCUGAGAGGGUAAUCGGCCACAUUGGGACUGAGACACGGCCCAAACUCCUACGGGAGGCAGCAGUAGGGAAUCUUCCACAAUGGACGAAAGUCUGAUGGAGCAACGCCGCGUGAGUGAAGAAGGGUUUCGGCUCGUAAAACUCUGUUGUUAAAGAAGAACAUAUCUGAGAGUAACUGUUCAGGUAUUGACGGUAUUUAACCAGAAAGCCACGGCUAACUACGUGCCAGCAGCCGCGGUAAUACGUAGGUGGCAAGCGUUGUCCGGAUUUAUUGGGCGUAAAGCGAGCGCAGGCGGUUUUUUAAGUCUGAUGUGAAAGCCUUCGGCUCAACCGAAGAAGUGCAUCGGAAACUGGGAAACUUGAGUGCAGAAGAGGACAGUGGAACUCCAUGUGUAGCGGUGAAAUGCGUAGAUAUAUGGAAGAACACCAGUGGCGAAGGCGGCUGUCUGGUCUGUAACUGACGCUGAGGCUCGAAAGUAUGGGUAGCAAACAGGAUUAGAUACCCUGGUAGUCCAUACCGUAAACGAUGAAUGCUAAGUGUUGGAGGGUUUCCGCCCUUCAGUGCUGCAGCUAACGCAUUAAGCAUUCCGCCUGGGGAGUACGGCCGCAAGGCUGAAACUCAAAGGAAUUGACGGGGGCCCGCACAAGCGGUGGAGCAUGUGGUUUAAUUCGAAGCUACGCGAAGAACCUUACCAGGUCUUGACAUACUAUGCAAAUCUAAGAGAUUAGACGUUCCCUUCGGGGACAUGGAUACAGGUGGUGCAUGGUUGUCGUCAGCUCGUGUCGUGAGAUGUUGGGUUAAGUCCCGCAACGAGCGCAACCCUUAUUAUCAGUUGCCAGCAUUAAGUUGGGCACUCUGGUGAGACUGCCGGUGACAAACCGGAGGAAGGUGGGGAUGACGUCAAAUCAUCAUGCCCCUUAUGACCUGGGCUACACACGUGCUACAAUGGAUGGUACAACGAGUUGCGAACUCGCGAGAGUAAGCUAAUCUCUUAAAGCCAUUCUCAGUUCGGAUUGUAGGCUGCAACUCGCCUACAUGAAGUCGGAAUCGCUGUAAUCGCGGAUCAGCAUGCCGCGGUGAAUACGUUCCCGGGCCUUGUACACACCGCCCGUCACACCUGAGAGUUUGUA
Molecule: ribosomal RNA, 1372 nt
Filed under: Lactiplantibacillus argentoratensis
Lineage: Bacteria; Bacillati; Bacillota; Bacilli; Lactobacillales; Lactobacillaceae
Description: bacterial SSU rRNA
Rfam family: Bacterial small subunit ribosomal RNA
Source: RNAcentral